UACGAAGGUGGCAAGCGUUAUUCGGAUUUACUGGGCGUACAGGGAGCGUAGGCGGUUCGGUAAGCCCUUUGUGAAAUCUUCAGGCUUAACCUGGAACAGUCGGAGGGGACUGCCGGGCUAGAGGACGGGAGAGGAGCGCGGAAUUCCCGGUGUAGCGGUGAAAUGUGUAGAUAUCGGAAGGAACGCCAGCAGCGAAAGCGGCACACUGGGCCUUUUCUGACGCUGAGGCACGAAAGCCAGGGGAGCGAACGGG
This 253-nucleotide ribosomal RNA is filed under the name uncultured prokaryote. Its description in RNAcentral is "partial 16S ribosomal RNA". It matches the Rfam family "Bacterial small subunit ribosomal RNA", at positions 524 to 776 of the family's 1533-position model. The record is from RNAcentral.